This 405-nucleotide ribosomal RNA is filed under the name Bacillota bacterium. RNAcentral describes it as "Firmicutes bacterium partial 16S ribosomal RNA". It matches the Rfam family "Bacterial small subunit ribosomal RNA", at positions 355 to 776 of the family's 1533-position model. Lineage: Bacteria; Bacillati; Bacillota. The record is from RNAcentral.
UGGGGAAUCUUGCACAAUGGGCGAAAGCCUGAUGCAGCAACGCCGCGUGCGGGAAGAAGGCCCUAGGGUUGUAAACCGCUUUCAGUAGGGAAGAAAAUGACGGUACCUACAGAAGAAGGUGCGGCCAACUACGUGCCAGCAGCCGCGGUGACACGUAGGCACCAAGCGUUAUCCGGAUUUAUUGGGCGUAAAGAGCUCGUAGGCGGUUUGGUAAGUCGGGUGUGAAAACUCUGGGCUCAACCCAGAGACGCCACCCGAUACUGCUAUGACUAGAGUACGGUAGGGGAGCAGGGAAUUCAUGGUGUAGCGGUGAAAUGCGCAGAUAUCAUGAGGAACACCAGCGGCGAAGGCGCCGCUCUGGGCCGUAACUGACGCUGAGGAGCGAAAGCAUGGGUAGCAAACAGG